RNAcentral lists this ribosomal RNA (810 nucleotides) under uncultured bacterium. Its description in RNAcentral is "bacterial SSU rRNA". It matches the Rfam family "Bacterial small subunit ribosomal RNA", at positions 8 to 796 of the family's 1533-position model. The record is from RNAcentral.
AGAGUUUGAUCAUGGCUCAGAACGAACGCUGGCGGCGUGGAUAAGACAUGCAAGUCGAACGAGAUUUUUUCCUGUAGCAAUACAGGGAAAAGUCUAGUGGCGAACGGGUGCGUAACACGUGGGCAAUCUGCCUUAAAGUGGGGGAUAGCUCGGCGAAAGCCGAAUUAAUACCGCAUGUGAUCAGGGGAGACAUCUUCCCGAAAUCAAAAGUGGCGCAAGCUACUGCUUUUUGAGGAGCCCGCGGCCUAUCAGCUAGUUGGUGAGGUAAUGGCUCACCAAGGCUUUGACGGGUAGCUGGUCUGAGAGGACGACCAGUCACACUGGAACUGAGACACGGUCCAGACACCUACGGGUGGCAGCAGUCGAGAAUUUUUCUCAAUGGGGGCAACCCUGAAGGAGCGACGCCGCGUGGAGGAUGAAGGUCUUCGGGUUGUAAACUCCUGUCAUUUGGGAACAAGUGCCGGUACGUAACUGCUACCGGCUUGAUAGUACCAGAAGAGGAAGGGACGGCUAACUCUGUGUCAGCAGCCGCGGUAAUACAGAGGUCUCAAGCGUUGUUCGGAUUCAUUGGGCGUAAAGGGUGUGUAGGUGGCGCCGUAAGUCGGGUGUGAAAUUUCGGAGCUUAACUCCGAAACUGCAUUCGAUACUGCGGUGCUUGAGGACUGGAGAGGAGACUGGAAUUCAUGGUGUAGCAGUGAAAUGCGUAGAGAUCAUGAGGAAGACCAGUGGCGAAGGCGGGUCUCUGGACAGUUCCUGACACUGAGACACGAAGGCCAGGGGAGCAAACGGGAUUAGAUACCCUAGUAGUCC